RNAcentral lists this ribosomal RNA (253 nucleotides) under uncultured bacterium. RNAcentral describes it as "partial 16S ribosomal RNA". It matches the Rfam family "Bacterial small subunit ribosomal RNA", at positions 524 to 776 of the family's 1533-position model. The record is from RNAcentral.
UACGUAGGGUGCAAGCGUUAAUCGGAAUUACUGGGCGUAAUGCGUGCGCAGGCGGCUUUGCAAGACAGAUGUGAAAUCCCCGGGCUUAACCUGGGAACUGCAUUUGUGACUGCAUCGCUGGAGUGCGGCAGAGGGGGAUGGAAUUCCGCGUGUAGCAGUGAAAUGCGUAGAUAUCCGGAGGAACACCGGUGGCGAAGGCGGCUUCCUGGACCGACACUGACGCUGAGGCGCGAAAGCUAGGGGAGCAAACGGG